UUUUUUCCCCCCUCUUUCCCAGGGUGGAAAUCCUCAUUAGAGUAACCGACUUGAAGUCUGCGAAACCGUCUCUUCCCGGCGCUGCUAUUUGCAGUGGGAGCACGUGCGGGCUGCGAGCGCCGAGCCCUGUCGAUCAGCAGCCCCGCUUGCUCGGGAGCGGAGGUGUUUAGGCAGUUCACAAAGCUCCCAUCCAUUCUGCAGACAGAUGUGCGUGCCACAGCCACCCUCUGCACAUGCCCAUAAUAGAAGCCAUUAGCUUCCCCGUUCCCUGCGCGCUGCAGCGCGUCGCGGGGACGCGGCGCGUUCCUAAUGCAUGAAGUGUGGUCCGGGUAGGACACAAAUAGUCUUGCAGAUUACCAGGUAAAAUUGGCUUUUACCUCUCCCCCAUCCUUCUCAGACAGUUUCCUGCCAAACUCCAGCUUUUAAGUCGGCACUCAAAGAAAUUCCCUCCGCGUAAAAGGCCUCUUGCUACCUUUUAAAUUGGCUAAUGUUUGGCAGAGAAGCUGAGGAGCCGGUGCUGUUAUUUAGUGCCUUCAUUACUUACUGCCUUGAGACUUCAUCUGAUAUUCCUGGCUCCUGUUCAUUCGGGGCGUGCUGGGGUAGCGGCGGUGCCCGCAUCCCUCCUGCCUGUCUCUGGGCCCCAGGGGGCUCGCAGCGAUGUGCCAGGCUCUCCCUGCCCAGCACGAAUCCAGCAGGCUUGGUUUUUGGUCCAAGCCCAUGCGCGAAGCUGAGGAUGAACACCCGCCUUGCUGCUGGUGGAAGACGAGAAGCAGCAUUCCUCCAACCGGGAAUGUUGUUAGCAUCCAGCUGGGAUGUGAAAAUCACUCGUAGGUUUGUAUCUCUAAAUAUUGCCAGCCUGAUGCCACCAUCUUCAAAAAGGGAAGGAACAGCAAGCCGACUCCUGUCAGUUUGUUAGAGCAUAUUUAUAACUCAAAUGCUAAUUCCUGCUCUUGACUCAUAAUAGCUUCUGAAUUCUGAAUCUUUAAAUUCCGGAUCUCGUGUUUUGAGGUUAAUCCAUUCAGAUAGAUUGGGAAGUCGAAUUUAUAAUUUGGAGAAGUAGUGUCAGUCCUUCUUUGCUUCAGCCCAUCAUUUCAUGUCGGCAGUGGGUCCCACCAGCCAGCCAGUGCUUGACCCUUCCUUAUAGUCUAGUCAGGAGCAAUGCAUUCAUUUUAUCUGACUUGAUAGUGCAGUUUCCUUCAUACUCUUACCUUGGCCUGUAAGCUUAAGAGCCGCGAUGACUGGCUGUCAGCAUACUCGCCUGCCUCUGAUUUAACUCAUUCAGCUUAUUGUGAGCCUUAACCUAUUUUCCGUGCUGCCUCCAAGUGUAAAGAGAUUAACAAGACCCAAAAAAAAAAAAAAAAGCCCCAACCCCGUAUCUUCGUCUUUCCAAUUUCUCCCAAGAAGCACUGCAGACCUGUGGGCUUUGGAGGCCGGCGUGGUGCUAAUGCAUCGCGUGGAUUGAGCACAGCCUUUAGCAGCAGCCCCUGCAGAAGGCAGCGCCUGUCCCAGCGCUCUGCUGGUGACAAAGCUCCAGGAGCUGCCUUCACCUUGCAUAAAGCUUUGCUUGACUUGCUCUCAUUAUGCUUCAGUCUCGUAUCAGAUUGUGUAGAGAGCAUGCUCGUUACAAAGCGAGACAAAAGAAGAAAAAGUAACCCGCAUUUUGAUGAGAAUUCUGUCUUUUAAUCACCGUGGUCGGAAACAAUAGCAAAAUCACAAAGCAACGGUUGUAAAUUUCUGUCUUGAAACUUUAAUUCUUCUUUUCUGCUCUUCUUCUUUUUUUUUUUUUUUUUCCCCCUCAGCUAAGUGGUGAAAGAUCACAGUGUUUUAAUGAUGCCUGCUAGUGUGGCUUCCUACGACUAAUGAGGUGUCAGCUGGCAGCAAGGAUGGGGCCAGGCCCCAGCAGCAAGCUCUGCCUCCCACCCUGCCACAUCUGUAGGAAGGUGUUCAGUGUCAGCUAAGGGAUGUGACACACCUCCUGCCCACGGCUUUGCCAGAGCAAGGGGCAGGCUUUGCAUUCUGGAAUCGCAGAGUUAUUCAGGUUGGAAGAGUUGGCUGAGAUCGUCAAAUCCAACCACCAGCCGAGCUUCAGGUUCUGCUGGUAUUUCUCCUUACCAAGCUGGGGGCAGCAGUCCCCGUGUGCCAGCUGUGCCACUGAACCUGUGAAUCCCCACUCCUUGCCAUGCGUAUCCACCAUCCUGCCUUUCAUUCAUGCACGAGGCUUGGGGUGGGGGCUCCUCACCAAUUCUUCAGCUGAUCCACCCCUCCUGCCUGGCCCAGCUGACUUCCAGUGGCAGUGUGCUGCAUCUCAGCGAAGCGCUGCGCGCAAGUUUUAAUUGCACUACAGAAGUGACUUUCUGCCAAUAGCUCAUUAGACUUCGUGAAUGCUCGAGCUGAAGAAUAGUCUCUCUGGAUUAGCAUCACACUCCAAGACACCCUUCUUGUUGGAUCGCUGUCAGGCAAAUUGAUAAAAGAAUAUUUCUGGAUGGAGCAAAAACAGGAGCGGUGGUGAGAUGCGGCAAUCUAGAGAGAGGCUUCCAGACAGAUGAGCCAAAAGCGAGAAGGCAUUGCUUCUGCAUCCAGGACGUCACAGGCACGGAGGGAGCACGGCGAGCCUAGAUGAAAAAGGAGCUAUUUUUCUCCUGGAAAUAGGAAGAAGCCCUAGGGUUCGGCUGCAGUGAUUUGGGCAGGAAGCUCUGCUGCUGGAGGAGCUCUGCAGGAGGCAGAACCCGACGCGGUGGCAGCAACGUUGCAAACACACCCGGGGUCGUUAACACGGUGCAUAUUUCCAAUCAUGUGAAUGGUGGUGGCAGGAUUUAGCACAGAGGGUCGUGCAGCUGCGUGCUGCCCAUGCUCCUCCCGUCCCCAAAGCUGCCAGUGACCCCGGUGAGAGGGGCACGGAGCUCGGUGCUGCUGGGGGAUAUUCCACAGCCACUGGAACAACCUUUGGAAAUGGAGUUGAAGCUACAAAGCUCGUUUCAGCUAUCUCUUAAGUGCUGCUCAUCCUGGCAGAUAAGUCAUUCCGUGCCCGUCUUUCAAAACGACUGGCUCAGCUAUUGUCUGCAUCAAAUCACCUUUGUUUAUAGCGCGCUCCGUAAUGGAUCCGGCGGCGGAGUAAAAUUUAAAUAAGUAAUUAUUGCGCAGGAGGCGCACGCUAAAUGGAGCCAUUUCCCCGGCUGCGCUGCCCUCUCGGCUGCACCCGGAGCACGAGGCAACUCCCCGCAGCCUCUCCGUAAUCAGAGCUAUUUAUCAUUUUAAUGGAACGCCGCGGAAUAUUACAUGGCGCAAUGUGUUUAAAUUGAUAAAUUGUAUUAGAAAAACAUCGGAUAGGAUUUUUAAUGCCCUUUAGGGUAAAGAGGAAUGGGCUCAACCGGUGAAGGUGAACUUUAUUAACAGUUGUAAGGAGAGAUGCUGCUGCAGCUCCGUGCCCGGUGGUGUUGCACUGAUGGGAAGCUGAAAAAUGCAACUUCACACCGUGCAUCCUCGCACUGGAGCUUCAGCAGGAGGCCAGGGAUGUGUCUGCUGACCGGGUUGGGGUGCCCAGCAGUUCCUUUCCAGCAGCACCGCUCCUGUUUGCAGGCCGCUGCUCCAAGAGGAUCUGCUCUAUGGGAGGACGUCGUCAGCUCCUCCUAAUGGCUCUGCUACUUGAGUUCAUUAAAUAAUCACCUCACACCGAA
Long non-coding RNA from Numida meleagris (helmeted guineafowl), 3674 nucleotides. RefSeq lists it as uncharacterized. The record is from RefSeq and is a predicted model, not a curated record. Lineage: Eukaryota; Metazoa; Chordata; Aves; Galliformes; Numididae. The transcript has 3 exons.